UACGUAGGGUGCAAGCGUUAAUCGGAAUUACUGGGCGUAAAGCGUGCGCAGGCGGUUCUCCAAGUCCGUUGUGAAAGCCCCGGGCUCAACCUGGGAAUGGCAGUGGAAACUAGGGGACUGGAAUCUGGCAGAGGGGGGUGGAAUGCCGCGUGUAGCAGUGAAAUGCGUAGAGAUGUGGAGGAACACCGAUGGCGAAGGCAGCCCCCUGGGCUGAGAUUGACGCUCAGGCACGAAAGCGUGGGGAGCAAACAGG
Molecule: ribosomal RNA, 253 nt
Filed under: uncultured bacterium
Lineage: Bacteria
Description: partial 16S ribosomal RNA
Rfam family: Bacterial small subunit ribosomal RNA
Source: RNAcentral